Molecule: ribosomal RNA, 433 nt
Filed under: uncultured bacterium
Lineage: Bacteria
Description: partial 16S ribosomal RNA
Rfam family: Bacterial small subunit ribosomal RNA
Source: RNAcentral
AACGAACGCUGGCGGCAUGCCUAACACAUGCAAGUCGAACGAGACCUUCGGGUCUAGUGGCGCACGGGUGCGUAACGCGUGGGAACCUGCCCUUAGGUUCGGAAUAACUCCCCGAAAGGGGUGCUAAUACCGGAUAAUGUCUUCGGACCAAAGAUUUAUCGCCUUUGGAUGGGCCCGCGUUGGAUUAGCUAGUUGGUAGGGUAAAAGCCUAUCAAGGCGACGAUCCAUAGCUGGUCUGAGAGGAUGAUCAGCCACACUGGGACUGAGACACGGCCCAGACUCCUACGGGAGGCAGCAGUGGGGAAUAUUGGACAAUGGGCGAAAGCCUGAUCCAGCAAUGCCGCGUGAGUGAUGAAGGCCUUAGGGUUAUAAAGCUCUUUUACCCGGGAUGAUAAUGACAGUACCGGGAGAAUAAGCUCCGGCUAACUCCGUG